GAACGCUGGCGGCGUGCUUAACACAUGCAAGUCGAACGAUGAAGCCCUUCGGGGUGGAUUAGUGGCGAACGGGUGAGUAACACGUGGGCAAUCUGCCCUGCACUCUGGGACAAGCCCUGGAAACGGGGUCUAAUACCGGAUACGAGCCUGGGAGGCAUCUCCCGGGUUGGAAAGCUCCGGCGGUGCAGGAUGAGCCCGCGGCCUAUCAGCUUGUUGGUGAGGUAACGGCUCACCAAGGCGACGACGGGUAGCCGGCCUGAGAGGGCGACCGGCCACACUGGGACUGAGACACGGCCCAGACUCCUACGGGAGGCAGCAGUGGGGAAUAUUGCACAAUGGGCGAAAGCCUGAUGCAGCGACGCCGCGUGAGGGAUGACGGCCUUCGGGUUGUAAACCUCUUUCAGCAGGGAAGAAGCGAAAGUGACGGUACCUGCAGAAGAAGCGCCGGCUAACUACGUGCCAGCAGCCGCGGUAAUACGUAGGGCGCAAGCGUUGUCCGGAAUUAUUGGGCGUAAAGAGCUCGUAGGCGG
This 530-nucleotide ribosomal RNA is filed under the name Streptomyces glomeratus. RNAcentral's name for it is "bacterial SSU rRNA". It matches the Rfam family "Bacterial small subunit ribosomal RNA", at positions 31 to 578 of the family's 1533-position model. The record is from RNAcentral. Lineage: Bacteria; Bacillati; Actinomycetota; Actinomycetes; Kitasatosporales; Streptomycetaceae.